GUGGGUAGUUUGACUGGGGCGGUCUCCUCCUAAAGAGUAACGGAGGAGCACGAAGGUUAGCUAAUCCUGGUCGGACAUCAGGAGGUUAGUGCAAAGGCAUAAGCUAGCUUGACUGCGAGAGUGACGGCUCGAGCAGGUGCGAAAGCAGGUCUUAGUGAUCCGGUGGUUCUGAAUGGAAGGGCCAUCGCUCAACGGAUAAAAGGUACUCCGGGGAUAACAGGCUGAUACCGCCCAAGAGUUCAUAUCGACGGCGGUGUUUGGCACCUCGAUGUCGGCUCAUCACAUCCUGGGGCUGAAGUAGGUCCCAAGGGUAUGGCUGUUCGCCAUUUAAAGUGGUACGCGAGCUGGGUUUAGAACGUCGUGAGACAGUUCGGUCCCUAUCUGCCGUGGGCGCUGGAGAAUUGAGGGGGGCUGCUCCUAGUACGAGAGGACCGGAGUGGACGCAUCACUGGUGUUCGGGUUGUCAUGCCAAUGGCAUUGCCCGGUAGCUAAAUGCGGAAGAGAUAAGUGCUGAAAGCAUCUAAGCACGAAAC
This 533-nucleotide ribosomal RNA is filed under the name Citrobacter freundii. RNAcentral describes it as "partial 23S ribosomal RNA". It matches the Rfam family "Bacterial large subunit ribosomal RNA", at positions 2261 to 2793 of the family's 2925-position model. The record is from RNAcentral. Lineage: Bacteria; Pseudomonadati; Pseudomonadota; Gammaproteobacteria; Enterobacterales; Enterobacteriaceae.